GUGGAUUAGAUACCCUGGUAGUCCACGCCGUAAACGAUGUCAACUAGCCGUUGGUGAGGUUAAACUCAUUAGUGGCGUAGCUAACGCGAUAAGUUGACCGCCUGGGGAGUACGGCCGCAAGGUUAAAACUCAAAGGAAUUGACGGGGGCCCGCACAAGCGGUGGAGUAUGUGGUUUAAUUCGAUGCAACGCGAAGAACCUUACCUGGUCUUGACAUCUAGCGAACUUUCCAGAGAUGGAUUGGUGCCUUCGGGAACGCUAAGACAGGUGCUGCACGGUUGUCGUCAACU
This 289-nucleotide ribosomal RNA is filed under the name uncultured bacterium. RNAcentral's name for it is "partial 16S ribosomal RNA". It matches the Rfam family "Bacterial small subunit ribosomal RNA", at positions 773 to 1060 of the family's 1533-position model. The record is from RNAcentral.